Molecule: long non-coding RNA, 930 nt
Filed under: Homo sapiens (human)
Lineage: Eukaryota; Metazoa; Chordata; Mammalia; Primates; Hominidae
Description: GPR55 cis regulatory suppressor of immune response RNA
Source: RNAcentral
AGGGUUCAGAGGAGGGAGAGAUCAGAGUGACUAGUGCAGGCUUCCUGGGGAACCAUUUGAGCUUUGAAGGUGGGGAAGAGGAAUGUCAGAGAGUGGGCAAAAUACAACAGGAAAGGUCCAAAUUCACCCUCUGAGGGCCCGGGGCACGGGGGCAGCCUGCUCUCCUCCUGGGGCCCUGUUCCCUGUGGGGACUGGAAGAGAGGCUUUGAGUCUAGGGCCUGGGGCAGCCAGGACUGACGGGGGUGCAGUCCUAGAAGGGUCGGCAGUCACGGUGGCCCACCAUGGCAUCUCCGUAUCCUUGCUGCAUGCUGCACCCACUCCAGCUGCCAGAGCACGGAGGCAGAGACGUGGGAGCCGAUGAAGGUCGCACGCCAGCCUCCCACCUGUGAGACAAAGGGCCCUGUCACUGGAAGCCACGUCCAGCCUGGCCCCGCAGGAGCCAGGGCUCUGCGCCUAACGGAGGACUGAUGGGAAAGGGAAGGCUGGCAGCAGUGAGGGGCCAAUCAUCUGAAUCACGUUCCUGUAUUCAGGAUUUGCCCCUCCAAAACAGUUUUGAUGGGAGACACCAGCCACCUACUAUUAUGCAGCCAUGCACCACAUAACGACGUUUCAGGCAACAAUGACUGCACAUACCACAGUGGUCCCGUAAAAUUACAAUGGAGCUGAAAAAUUCCUAUUGCCUAGUGACGUCACAGCCAUUGUAAGGUCAGAGUGCAACACAUCACUCAUGUGUUUGUGUUGAUGCUGCUGUAAACAAACCUACCGCACUGCCAGUCAUAUAAAAGUAUAGCCCAUACAAUUAUGUGUAGUACUUAAUACUUAAUAAUAAUAAACAACUAUGUUGCUGGUUUACGUAUUUACUACACUGUGUUUUUAAUUGCUAAUAAGAGUGUACUCUUUUUAGUUAUUAAAAAAAAAGUUAACUGUAAA